RNAcentral lists this ribosomal RNA (458 nucleotides) under uncultured bacterium. Its description in RNAcentral is "partial 16S ribosomal RNA". It matches the Rfam family "Bacterial small subunit ribosomal RNA", at positions 338 to 795 of the family's 1533-position model. The record is from RNAcentral.
CCUACGGGCGGCAGCAGUGAGGAAUAUUGGGCAAUGGGCGAGAGCCUGAACCAGCCAAGUCGCGUGAGGGAGUAAUGCCCUAUGGGUUUUAAACCUCUUUUGUCGGGGAGCAAAAGCCGGACGUGUCCGGCUGUGAUCGUACCCGAAGCAAAAGCAUCGGCUAACUCCGUGCCAGCAGCCGCGGUAAUACGGGGGAUGCGAGAGUUAUCCGGAUUUAUUGGGUUUAAAGGGUGCGCAGGCGGAUUUUUAAGUCAGCGGUCAAAGCGUGGGGCUCAACCCCAUCCAGCAGUUGAAACUGGGGAUCUAGAGUGUGCGAGAGGUAUGCGGAAUGCGUGGUGUAGCGGUGAAAUGCAUAGAUAUCACGCAGAACCCCGAUUGCGAAGGCAGCAUACUGGUGCACAACUGACGCUCAGGCACGAAAGCGUGGGUAUCGAACAGGAUUAGAUACCCCUGUAGUC